Molecule: long non-coding RNA, 219 nt
Organism: Zingiber officinale
Lineage: Eukaryota; Viridiplantae; Streptophyta; Magnoliopsida; Zingiberales; Zingiberaceae
Exons: 3
Source: RefSeq, a predicted model, not a curated record
AUUCACUUAAUCAUCGCAAUCGUUAUGAGGACUGGAAAUAUGUAGUGGAUAUGAGCUUGAAAUUGUUCAAUUCGAACAAGCAAAGGAAAGGGAAAAAGAAGCCUAUGUGGGAAGUCGUAAAGGGUCCUCGACAACCUGAUGCUAAACAAUGUGAGUUUUAUGUGAUGAAAUUUAUGAGAGAAAUUAUUGAAGGAAAUGCUACCGGCGAGAUGGAUUCAC